CUCUGUUGGCAAAAGUUGGCAAGAUACUGCUGGUAGGCAAAGAAAUCACACGUUCGAGAAUAAGCGUAUCCAGCAAGAAAUGGGGAGUAAGGUUUUGUGAUCCAAAAUAGUCUACAUAAUGUUAAAAUAACAGGCCAAUUUGGUCAAUAUGGUUAAAAAAAUAUAAAGAAUCAGGCAAGUCUGACGUUGGAAUUCAGACAAACCAAACAAUGGACCAUUGUCCGAACACUGAACUUUUGAGCUGGUUUCUUUGUCGGGUUGUUGGCACAACUUGUGACUGAGUGAAGAAAGCUGCUCGGAGAUCUCACAGAGCCAGGGCCAAACAGUAGAGCCAGGGACAGAUUCUUCAGAUGGCUGAGCCUCUGCUGAUGAAAGCGGCUGUGGGUGUCAGGGACGGAGGCCGGGAUGCAAGCACUGAGCACCCUUCCGUGCGCUGAGCGCCCAUGGCCAGUCCUGGCCAGCUGGAGGCUUACGAGAGAAACACCGACUUACAAUCUGCAGCCACCAACAGGAACAAAAAUGAAGACAGCAGUUGAAAAACGGAAAAGUUCACUAAAGCUCAGAUAGAGGCCCUGGAUAUGCAGAGCAGAAACCGAAGGACAUUCUUCAUGUGGUUACAGGACCUAACCCAAAGGAAGCACUUUAUAGACGCCUUCACAAACGGAUAAACAACUGGAGCUUUUUUUGUUGUGUGAAGAAAGAAUACUGGACAAGGAAGCAGACUGAUCUCAUAGUACCUGCUGCCUUGUGACUGAUGUUGAAUCUUUGUUGAUGGUCUGAAGGGCUUCAGGCAGCUUUGUUCACAGUCGACACUGCUACUUUUAUUCAUUUAUUCAUUUGCACGUGCUAAUCCCAGCUCUACGACAUUGUGCAUGGUUAACAAAGCACACAUUUCUGAUGGAACCCCAAAUCCAAUAAUUAAGCUGUUGGAUUAUCUCUGAGCUUAGCCAGGAGCUCCCUCCAAGGUUGGUGGUCUGACCCACAGUCAGGCAGAAAAGGUAACACAAGUGGGAUUUUGUUUGGUGUCAGCUUAAAAUAUUUAUGAAUGGCUGAGACAUGAGUGGGCCCCUACUCCUCUCAUUUGACACGUCUUAAUUAUGAAGAUCGAAACAAGGAAAGCAGGCUCCAUUCUGGCAUUAGAUGCGUGUAAGGUGAUCUUCCAGUCCCAACUUGACUGUGUCAGAAUUUCUUAUCUCAGGUUUCUGAAUGAACUGUUUUUGAAAGCCUCAGGGGAGAUUAAUAUCUCCACCUGCUCUUCACCCACAAUUCCUUAAAAAAAAUAGACUUUUCAUUCUAGUAGAGAAAGGAUUGUGAGAUGUUUUUUUUUCUUCCUGAAUUUGUCUUGGAUCCCAAAAGCAGACCUAUAGCAUACUUUAUUUUCAUUGUCCUUUCAUAAACAGAUCUGAGAUUUUUUUGACACAGUAGCUUUCUGUUGACAGAUGGACAACUAUGUUGUAGAAGAGAAAACCAAAGUACAAAAUGAGUCGGACUGAAAACCAAUUUAUGUUCAAUUCCUGGGCUAUCCUGCCAUUGAAAAUUCUCCACUUGCCUCCAAAGAUGUUAAUUAACAAUAGCCAUUCUUUAGUAUUUACUAGAUGCCAGGUCCUUUUCUAAGUACCUUACAUAAUAGCUAAUUUACACACUCAACAAGCCUGUUGUUUUCAAGCCGGGAAACUGAGGCAUGGGGAAGUAAUGAAUUUUAAAAUCUUAGGUAUGAAAUUUCCUUUGUAAUCACUUUUGCACUAAAUCUUGCUAAAGAGCCAUGUUUAGUAAAACUCAUUAUAGAAAAUGUAUGUGUUUAUGCCUAUAGCUUCAAUAUUGAAAUGGUACUGUUAUUUUCUCAAUGUGUAAAUCACUUUCACUAAAGAUCCAGGGGGUAUUAACUUACGUCUCCUUAUCCUUCCUGACUUUUGCAGUCACAAAGAUGAAUGUCUUCACAGGAGUUCAGUGUUCUCAUUCCAGACACACUGCACUUUCCUCUUGCCACGGAAGACAGAACAGGAAGUGCGCAGAGAACCAAGUGUACCAUUUUAAGCCCCUAUUUCCUGUGGCUUUUCGUUUCACAAUAAAUUGAGCAUGAAAUAAAGUGA
This is a long non-coding RNA of Hipposideros armiger (great roundleaf bat), 2090 nucleotides long. RefSeq lists it as uncharacterized. The record is from RefSeq and is a predicted model, not a curated record. The transcript is spliced from 3 exons. NCBI's taxonomy places the organism in Eukaryota, Metazoa, Chordata, Mammalia, Chiroptera, Hipposideridae.